Molecule: non-coding RNA, 970 nt
Organism: Pelobates cultripes (western spadefoot toad)
Lineage: Eukaryota; Metazoa; Chordata; Amphibia; Anura; Pelobatidae
Source: the annotation of a GenBank genome assembly
GUCAGUUCAUGCAGAUUAGACAGUUCGAGAGCCGGAAGGUGUGUGCUCACGAUGUGAAAUACGGCUUGCCGGCUGUGGGGCUGAGUAAUGGGCGUCUCAGCCUAUGCCCAGUGCUGGAAUGUCCCCUGGUCUGUCGCAGCAGGCACCUCCAAUGGAGCUUCUGGGCUCGGUAACUGCUCCAGCGGUGUUCGGCAUGACGGUCUCCUGUUCAGCAGUGCAGCGGUCAUCCAAUGCUGUGUGGCAUGGAGCUGUGCUGAUCUGUGAGUCUUGGGUCGAGUGGGUGGCGUGCAGAUGAGGAUUGCUUGAUGCAGCAGCUCCCAUGUGAGCGGGAGAGUCUGUCUGAAUGGCGUGUUGCUGUUUCCCGCUUUGUCGUCUGCGAUGUCUGCUCAGCCUGAUGAGCGCUCUGGAAUCGUGUAUUAAGUGCCCAUAUUGGCGUCGCCGGGUCGCAGGGCGGAUCCAGGAGGCCACUGUUUUGACUGCUAGGAAGUAGGGCAUUCCACGCUGGCAGAGCACUGACCAAAAUCUCCUGCAGAGCCGAUUGAAAGCCUCCAGAGAUUGCAUAGGUGGCUGGGUUAAUGUGCUCUUUGUCUGCGGCUUGCACUGAGCCGCCAUCUUGCGAGUGCCUCGGUAGUCCGUUGCCCCCGCAGAUUAUGUAGCCGGUAGGCUUGUCAACAGUUCUGGUCUGAGUGUCCAGUGGGGACCAGGAUAACCCCCACUGGUCCAAAGGCGGGGGAGUAGGAGACCAGCAAAGUCGCUCAAGGGUGAUGGUGUCGGGGGGAGCGUCCGCCUCUCCCCGGCUCAAAUCCCAGUAGGCCGCACGUGGCGUUCUGUCCCGACGGGCUCCAGAAAGGUGUUGCUUGAUUUAGUGGUGUGCCCCCGAUCUGGGUGGUGCACCCUGGUAGUUCCUUGGGCUGUAUAGCCACCGAUUUUGCCCCAAUUUCUGUCUGCCAGGCAGGAGCUUGUGUGACCC